This 443-nucleotide ribosomal RNA is filed under the name uncultured bacterium. RNAcentral describes it as "partial 16S ribosomal RNA". It matches the Rfam family "Bacterial small subunit ribosomal RNA", at positions 338 to 795 of the family's 1533-position model. The record is from RNAcentral.
CCUACGGGAGGCUGCAGUGGGGAAUAUUUGGCAAUGGGCGCAAUCCUGACCCAGCAACGCCGCGUGAAGGAAGAAGGCUUUCGGGUUGUAAACUUCUUUUCUCAGGGACGAAGCAAGUGACGGUACCUGCGGACUACGCCACGGCUCACUCCGUGCAAGCAGCCGCGGUAAUACGUCGGUGGCAAGCGUUAUCCGGAUUUACUGGGUGUAAAGGGCGUGUAGGCGGGACUGCAAGUCAGAUGUGAAAACCACGGGCUCAACCUGUGGCCUGCAUUUGAAACUGGAGUUCUUGAGUACUGGAGAGGCAGACGGAAUUCCUAGGGUAGCGGUGAAAUGCGUAGAUAUUAGGAGGAACACCAGUGGCGAAGGCGGUCUGCUGGACAGCAACUGACGCUGAGGCGCGAAAGCGUGGGGAGCAAACAGGAUUAGAUACCCCUGUAGUC